AUUUGGGUGGUGGGCAGAGGAAUUUGCAGGGAGCGGACGAAGACGGACGGAGAGUUGGAGUUUGAGGAAGCCUUUCUCGGCCGGCUAGUCGUUUGACAGCGGUCUUUGAAGUUGUUGGCAACUGCGAGGCAAGAGACGGAGGAGGUCUUUGGGUGUGGAUUGUCAAACUUUGGUUUUGUCAAUCUCAUUCAAAGGCUGCAACCAUGGCGGAGCAAGGAGGAGAGGAUGGGGAGUUGGAGAGGGCUCCGGAGCAUUGGUGUUUCUGCAAUGGAGGGCACGUGGUCGAGCUCGAGGGAGGAGUCUUGGUGCUGAAUAUGAGCUGGCCUUCUGAGAGGAGACUCUGAAGAUGGGGAUGUGCUGUUCAUCCGGAAUACAUGGCGAGAAUGAAAGUUAUGAUUUGAAAGCUCAUCGCCCUCAACCUCUUCCAUCUCAAGAUUCGCCUCUGAGCCCACCUAGCAGCAGCAUGCCUAGUCAUUGAACCGGAGUCAUUUGUUACAUCAACUUGAGAUUUAGGGUUUUCCACUUCAUCCAAUUUCUCAACCUUCACAGGCAGUGAACUAGCACCAACAUCUGCUACAUUCAACCCUUCCUCGAUCAAAUCGGGCUUAAGAGCAGGCGGCGAAUCUGACUCACCACCGGAUUUCACCGCAAAACCAGCACUGUCCAAUUGCUUCCCAUCCUUCUUCUCCCCGGACGGCCCAGCUUCACAAUCAGUAGCAACAUUCUCCGGCGCUUCGAAUUUAAUCGUGGGGUUAGACAAAUUUCCCGCCUUCGGAGCUUUGCUGAGCUAGCGCGGGAUAAAAUCAGGCUUAGGGUUAGAGAGAUGGCGGCGGGGAGGCCAGAGCAGAGGAGAAAGAGAGCUACAGAGCGGCGGGUUAAAAGGGAUUUGAAGUCCUUAAGGGAGGGAACUCUAAGGAGAUUUCCUUUGUACAACGAAAUCGCCACCAUUUGUGAACGAAUUUUUUCUGUCGA
Long non-coding RNA from Malus domestica (apple), 972 nucleotides. RefSeq lists it as uncharacterized. NCBI's taxonomy places the organism in Eukaryota, Viridiplantae, Streptophyta, Magnoliopsida, Rosales, Rosaceae. The record is from RefSeq and is a predicted model, not a curated record.